RNAcentral lists this ribosomal RNA (486 nucleotides) under uncultured bacterium. RNAcentral's name for it is "partial 16S ribosomal RNA". It matches the Rfam family "Bacterial small subunit ribosomal RNA", at positions 28 to 507 of the family's 1533-position model. The record is from RNAcentral.
GAUGAACGCUGGCGGCGUACCUAAUACAUGCAAGUCGAACGCUGGAGAUCUAGCUUGCUAGAUCGAAGGAGUGGCGAACGGGUGAGUAAUACAUAAGCAACCUACCCACGAAGACUGGGAUAAUCUCUGGAAACGGGGACUAAUACCGGAUAGGUAAUCGGAAGGCAUCUUCUGGUUAUUAAAGGUUAAAAACACUGGUGGAUGGGCUUAUGGCGCAUUAGUUAGUUGGUGAGGUAACGGCCCACCAAGACGAUGAUGCGUAGCCGGCCUGAGAGGGUGAACGGCCACAUUGGGACUGAGACACGGCCCAGACUCCUACGGGAGGCAGCAGUAGGGAAUUUUCGGCAAUGGGGGCAACCCUGACCGAGCAACGCCGCGUGAGUGAAGACGGCCUUCGGGUUGUAAAGCUCUGUUGUAAGGGAAGAACGGUAGAUAGAGAAUAUCUAAGUGACGGUACCUUACCAGAAAGCCACGGCUAACUACGUG